Sceloporus undulatus (fence lizard) is the source of this 397-nucleotide long non-coding RNA. RefSeq lists it as uncharacterized. Lineage: Eukaryota; Metazoa; Chordata; Lepidosauria; Squamata; Phrynosomatidae. The transcript is spliced from 3 exons. The record is from RefSeq and is a predicted model, not a curated record.
GGUCCCUACGCGUUACCAGCCCACUCGUGGAAUGAGUCAUGAUACCAGCAUGAAAUUUGAAGACCAUACAUCUGAGCAAGAACUAACUACCUAGAUAUAAAUAAAAUUCCAAGAUGAAUUCAGUCACAAGAGAAACUGCUAACAAGCCCAAAUCCUUCAAUCUCUGUUCCUCAUGGAAUAGUGCUAUCUACUCUUGCUUGAGGCAUUAGAAAAUCGAUGACCAGCUUCUCCAAACUCCUGUUGGAACAUGACCGAGAAGAUGUGCAUACAGUUCGAAAGCAGGCUAAUUCGACUUGUUGAAACACUGGAACAAUCAGAUUCUGGAAAAGUGACUUUAAGGGAACUACAGUUUACUGAUCUCCCCCCCCCCCCCCCCCCACACACACACGCCAGGCAG